RNAcentral lists this unclassified non-coding RNA (354 nucleotides) under uncultured fungus. RNAcentral's name for it is "partial contains 5.8S ribosomal RNA and internal transcribed spacer 2". The stretch from base 1 to 134 matches the Rfam family "5.8S ribosomal RNA", at positions 22 to 154 of the family's 154-position model. The record is from RNAcentral. Lineage: Eukaryota; Fungi.
UGGUUCUGGCAUCGAUGAAGAACGCAGCGAAAUGCGAUAAGUAAUGCGAAUUGCAGAAUUCCAGUGAGUCAUCGAAUCUUUGAACGCACAUUGCGCCCUUUGGCAUUCCGAAGGGCAUGCCUGUUCGAGCGUCAUUAUCACCCCUCAAGCCCCGUGCUUGGUGUUGGACGGCUUGGUCGCGGUGCACACCGCGCGACCCCUCCCAAAGACAAUGACGGCGGCCUGUGGCUCCCCCGGCACACUGAGCUUCUCACCGAGCACGUGUCGGAUCGCGGGCGUCCAGGUCCCGGUCGGCUCCCCCACUAGGGAAAUUUUAUCAAGGUUGACCUCGGAUCAGGUAGGAAUACGCGCUGA